Molecule: ribosomal RNA, 252 nt
Filed under: uncultured bacterium
Lineage: Bacteria
Description: partial 16S ribosomal RNA
Rfam family: Bacterial small subunit ribosomal RNA
Source: RNAcentral
UACGGAGGAUGCGAGCGUUAUCCGGAUUUAUUGGGUUUAAAGGGUGCGUAGGCGGGAUGCCAAGUCAGCGGUCAAAUACGGGGGCUCAACCUGCGUCCGCCGUUGAAACUGGCGUUCUUGAGUGGGCGAGAAGUACGCGGAAUGCGUGGUGUAGCGGUGAGAUGCAUAGAUAUCACGCAGAACCCCGAUUGCGAAGGCAGCGUACCGGCGCCCGACUGACGCUGAAGCACGAAAGCGUGGGUAUCGAACAGG